CACAUGCAAGUCGAGGGGAAACGACAUCGAAAGCUUGCUUUUGAUGGGCGUCGACCGGCGCACGGGUGAGUAACGCGUAUCCAACCUGCCCACCACUUGGGGAUAACCUUGCGAAAGUAAGACUAAUACCCAAUGAUAUCUCUAGAAGACAUCUGAAAGAGAUUAAAGAUUUAUCGGUGAUGGAUGGGGAUGCGUCUGAUUAGCUUGUUGGCGGGGUAACGGCCCACCAAGGCGACGAUCAGUAGGGGUUCUGAGAGGAAGGUCCCCCACAUUGGAACUGAGACACGGUCCAAACUCCUACGGGAGGCAGCAGUGAGGAAUAUUGGUCAAUGGACGAGAGUCUGAACCAGCCAAGUAGCGUGCAGGAUGACGGCCCUAUGGGUUGUAAACUGCUUUUAUAAGGGAAUAAAGUGAGUCUCGUGAGACUUUUUGCAUGUACCUUAUGAAUAAGGACCGGCUAAUUCCGUGCCAGCAGCCGCGGUAAUACGGAAGGUCCGGGCGUUAUCCGGAUUUAUUGGGUUUAAAGGGAGCGUAGGCCGGAGAUUAAGCGUGUUGUGAAAUGUAGAUGCUCAACAUCUGCACUGCAGCGCGAACUGGUUUCCUUGAGUACGCACAAAGUGGGCGGAAUUCGUGGUGUAGCGGUGAAAUGCUUAGAUAUCACGAAGAACUCCGAUUGCGAAGGCAGCUCACUGGAGCGCAACUGACGCUGAAGCUCGAAAGUGCGGGUAUCGAACAGGAUUAGAUACCCUGGUAGUCCGCACGGUAAACGAUGGAUGCCCGCUGUUGGUCUGAAUAGGUCAGCGGCCAAGCGAAAGCAUUAAGCAUCCCACCUGGGGAGUACGCCGGCAACGGUGAAACUCAAAGGAAUUGACGGGGGCCCGCACAAGCGGAGGAACAUGUGGUUUAAUUCGAUGAUACGCGAGGAACCUUACCCGGG
Molecule: ribosomal RNA, 937 nt
Filed under: uncultured bacterium
Lineage: Bacteria
Description: bacterial SSU rRNA
Rfam family: Bacterial small subunit ribosomal RNA
Source: RNAcentral